AACGCGAAGAACCUUACCUCGGCUUGACAUGCACCUGGUACCGAAGGGAAACCUGAGGGACCCGCAAGGGAGGGUGCACAGAUGCUGCAUGGCUGUCGUCAGCUCGUGCCGUGAGGUGUUGGGUUAAGUCCCGCAACGAGCGCAACCCUUGUCCUUAGUUGCCAUCUCUAAGGAGACCGCCGGUCUAAACCGGAGGAAGGUGGGGAUGACGUCAAGUCAGCACGGCUCUUACGUCGAGGGCUACACACACGCUACAAUGGCCGGUACAACGGGCUGCGAAGGGGCGACCUGGAGCUAAUCCCACCAAAGCCGGUCUCAGUUCGGAUCGCAGGCUGCAACUCGCCUGCGUGAAGUCGGAGUUGCUAGUAACUGCUGGUCAGCACACAGCAGUGAAUACGUUCCCGGGCCUUGUA
Molecule: ribosomal RNA, 413 nt
Filed under: uncultured Chloroflexota bacterium
Lineage: Bacteria; Bacillati; Chloroflexota
Description: bacterial SSU rRNA
Rfam family: Bacterial small subunit ribosomal RNA
Source: RNAcentral